This 497-nucleotide ribosomal RNA is filed under the name uncultured bacterium. RNAcentral describes it as "partial 16S ribosomal RNA". It matches the Rfam family "Bacterial small subunit ribosomal RNA", at positions 28 to 507 of the family's 1533-position model. The record is from RNAcentral.
GACGAACGCUGGCGGCGUGCCUAAUACAUGCAAGUAGAACGCUGAAGAGAGGAGCUUGCUCUUCUUGGAUGAGUUGCGAACGGGUGAGUAACGCGUAGGUAACCUGCCUUGUAGCGGGGGAUAACUAUUGGAAACGAUAGCUAAUACCGCAUAACAAUGGAUGACACAUGUCAUUUAUUUGAAAGGGGCAAUUGCUCCACUACAAGAUGGACCUGCGUUGUAUUAGCUAGUAGGUGAGGUAACGGCUCACCUAGGCGACGAUACAUAGCCGACCUGAGAGGGUGAUCGGCCACACUGGGACUGAGACACGGCCCAGACGCCUACGGGAGGCAGCAGUAGGGAAUCUUCGGCAAUGGGGGCAACCCUGACCGAGCAACGCCGCGUGAGGGAAGAAGGUUUUCGGAUCGUAAAGCUCGGUUGUAAGUCAAGAACGAGUGUGAGAGUGGAAAGUUCACACUGUGACGGUAGCUUACCAGAAAGGGACGGCUAACUACGUG